This 115-nucleotide ribosomal RNA is filed under the name Pennahia argentata (silver croaker). RNAcentral describes it as "partial 16S rRNA". The record is from RNAcentral. Lineage: Eukaryota; Metazoa; Chordata; Actinopteri; Sciaenidae.
CGCCCAUUAGCUAGCCAUCCCCAUUAAAAACAACAAACACCCAUCAAUACCCCCUCAAACACUCAAAUAUUACUAAAUAAACCAUUCUUCCUCCCAAGUACGGGCGACAGAAAAG